Molecule: ribosomal RNA, 1460 nt
Filed under: metagenome
Description: bacterial SSU rRNA
Rfam family: Bacterial small subunit ribosomal RNA
Source: RNAcentral
AGAGUUUGAUCCUGGCUCAGAACGAACGCUGGCGGCAGGCUUAACACAUGCAAGUCGAACGAGUAAGAGCCGUAGCAAUACGGAGUUCUGCUAGUGGCGCACGGGUGAGUAACGCGUGGGAAUAUGCCCUUUAGUACGGAAUAACAGUUGGAAACGACUGCUAAUACCGUAUACGCCCUUCGGGGGAAAGAUUUAUCGCUAAAGGAUUAGCCCGCGUGAGAUUAGGUAGUUGGUGGGGUAAUGGCCUACCAAGCCUACGAUCUCUAGCCGGUCUGAGAGGACGAUCGGCCACACUGGAACUGAGACACGGUCCAGACUCCUACGGGAGGCAGCAGUGGGGAAUAUUGGACAAUGGGCGAAAGCCUGAUCCAGCCAUGCCGCGUGAGUGAUGAAGGCCUUAGGGUUGUAAAGCUCUUUUGUCAGGGAAGAUAUUGACGGUACCUGAAGAAUAAGCACCGGCUAACUUCGUGCCAGCAGCCGCGGUAAUACGAAGGGUGCUAGCGUUGUUCGGAAUUACUGGGCGUAAAGCGCGCGCAGGCGGUCUAUCAAGUCAGAGGUGAAAUGCCGAAGCUCAACUUCGGAACUGCCUUUGAAACUGUUAGACUAGAAUAUGGGAGGGGAUAGCGGAAUUCCUAAUGUAGAGGUGAAAUUCGUAGAUAUUAGGAGGAACACCGGUGGCGAAGGCGGCUAUCUGGCCCAUUAUUGACGCUGAGGCGCGAAAGCGUGGGGAUCAAACAGGAUUAGAUACCCUGGUAGUCCACGCUGUAAACGAUGAGUGCUAGCUGUUGGGACCUUAGGUCUCAGUGGCGCAGCUAACGCAUUAAGCACUCCGCCUGGGGAGUACGGUCGCAAGAUUAAAACUCAAAGGAAUUGACGGGGACCCGCACAAGCGGUGGAGCAUGUGGUUUAAUUCGAGGCAACGCGAAGAACCUUACCAGGACUUGACAUGUCCAGUUUGGAUUUCAGAAAUGAUUUCCUUCAGUUUGGCUGGCUGGAACACAGGUGCUGCAUGGCUGUCGUCAGCUCGUGUCGUGAGAUGUUGGGUUAAGUCCCGCAACGAGCGCAACCCUCAUCUUUAGUUGCUACCAUUUAGUUGAGCACUCUAAAGAAACUGCCGGUGAUAAGCCGGAGGAAGGUGGGGAUGACGUCAAGUCUUCAUGGCCCUUAUGUCCUGGGCUACACACGUGCUACAAUGGCAGUGACAAUGCGCCGCUACCUCGCGAGGGGAAGCUAAUCGCAAAAAGCUGUCUCAGUUCGGAUUGUACUCUGCAACUCGAGUACAUGAAGUUGGAAUCGCUAGUAAUCGCGCAUCAGCAUGGCGCGGUGAAUACGUUCCCGGGUCUUGUACACACCGCCCGUCACACCAUGGGAGUUGGUUCUACCUUAAGCCGCUGUGCUAACCGCAAGGAGGCAGGCAACCACGGUAGGGUCAGUGACUGGGGUGAAGUCGUAACAAGGUA